UAGGGAAUCUUCGGCAAUGGACGAAAGUCUGACCGAGCAACGCCGCGUGAGUGAAGAAGGUUUUCGGAUCGUAAAACUCUGUUGUUAGAGAAGAACAAGGACGUUAGUAACUGAACGUCCCCUGACGGUAUCUAACCAGAAAGCCACGGCUAACUACGUGCCAGCAGCCGCGGUAAUACGUAGGUGGCAAGCGUUGUCCGGAUUUAUUGGGCGUAAAGCGAGCGCAGGCGGUUUCUUAAGUCUGAUGUGAAAGCCCCCGGCUCAACCGGGGAGGGUCAUUGGAAACUGGGGGACUUGAGUGCAGAAGAGGAGAGGGGAAUUCCAUGUGUAGCGGUGAAAUGCGUAGAUAUAUGGAGGAACACCAGUGGCGAAGGCGGCUCUCUGGUCUGUAACUGACGCUGAGGCUCGAAAGCGGGGGGAGCAAACAGG
Molecule: ribosomal RNA, 429 nt
Filed under: Gemmatimonadota bacterium
Lineage: Bacteria; Pseudomonadati; Gemmatimonadota
Description: Gemmatimonadetes bacterium partial 16S ribosomal RNA
Rfam family: Bacterial small subunit ribosomal RNA
Source: RNAcentral